GAUGAAGAACGCAGCGAAACGCGAUAUGUAAUGUGAAUUGCAGAAUUCAGUGAAUCAUCGAAUCUUUGAACGCACAUGGCGCCUUCCAGUAUCCUGGGAGGCAUGCCUGUCCGAGCGUCGUUUCAACCCUCGAGCCCCCGUGGCCCGGCGUUGGGGAUCUGCCCAGGCAGUCCCCGAAAACCAGUGGCGGACCCGUUACAGGCCCUUCCCUUGCGUAGUAGCAUUCGCCUCGCAUCGGGAGCCGGCGGGCUUCCAGCCUCUAAACCCCCAUCAAGUCCGCCCCGGCGGCACCAAGGUUGACCUCGGAUCAGGUAGGAAUACCCGCUGAACUUAAGCAUAUCAAUAAGCGGUGGA
This 354-nucleotide unclassified non-coding RNA is filed under the name soil metagenome. RNAcentral's name for it is "partial contains 5.8S ribosomal RNA, internal transcribed spacer 2, and large subunit ribosomal RNA". The stretch from base 1 to 120 matches the Rfam family "5.8S ribosomal RNA", at positions 35 to 154 of the family's 154-position model. The record is from RNAcentral.